This 1501-nucleotide ribosomal RNA is filed under the name metagenome. RNAcentral describes it as "bacterial LSU rRNA". It matches the Rfam family "Bacterial large subunit ribosomal RNA", at positions 1431 to 2925 of the family's 2925-position model. The record is from RNAcentral.
AAAUAUUCCUGUACCUUGUACAAGUGCGAUGUGGGGACGGAGAAGGUUAGGUCAGCCGGGUGUUGGACGUCCCGGUUUAAGCGUGUAGGCGUGCCCCUUAGGCAAAUCCGGGGGGCUUAGCUGAGGCGUGAUGACGAGGAACCACGGUUCCGAAGUGAUUGAUACCAAGCUUCCAGGAAAAGCCACUAAGCUUCAGCUUGUAUGAGACCGUACCGCAAACCGACACAGGUGGGCAGGAUGAAAAUUCUAAGGCGCUUGAGAGAACCCAGGAGAAGGAACUCGGCAAAUUAACACCGUAACUUCGGGAGAAGGUGUGCCCCGGUAGCGUGUAGAGACUUGCUCUUGAAGCGCGAUGGGGUUGCAGUGAAAUGGUGGCUGCGACUGUUUAAUAAAAACACAGCACUCUGCAAACACGAAAGUGGACGUAUAGGGUGUGACGCCUGCCCGGUGCCGGAAGGUUAAGUGAUGGGGUGCAAGCUCUUGAUCGAAGCCCCGGUAAACGGCGGCCGUAACAAUAACGGUCCUAAGGUAGCGAGAUUCCUUGUCGGGUAAGUUCCGACCUGCACGAAUGGCGUAACGAUGGCCACACUGUCUCCUCCUGGGACUCAGCGAAGUUGAAAUGUUUGUGAAGAUGCAAUCUCCCCGCGGCAAGACGGAAAGACCCCAUGAACCUUUACUGUAGCUUUGCAUUGGACUUUGAACCGGUUUGUGUAGGAUAGGUGGGAGACUGUGAAGCCGGGACGCUAGUUUCGGUGGAGUCAACCUUGAAAUACCACCCUGAUUUGUUUGAGGUUCUAACCUUGGUCCGUGAAUCCGGAUCGGGGACCGUGCAUGGUAGGCAGUUUGACUGGGGCGGUCUCCUCCCAAAAGGUAACGGAGGAGUACGAAGGUACGCUUAGGGCGGUCGGACAUCGCCCACAAAGUGCAAUGGCAAAAGCGUGCUUGACUGCGAGACCCACAAGUCGAGCAGGUACGAAAGUAGGUCAUAGUGAUCCGGUGGUUCUGUAUGGAAGGGCCAUCGCUCAACGGAUAAAAGGUACUCUGGGGAUAACAGGCUAAUUCCUCCCAAGAGUUCAUAUCGACGGGGGAGUUUGGCACCUCGAUGUCGGCUCAUCACAUCCUGGGGCUGUAGUCGGUCCCAAGGGUAUGGCUGUUCGCCAUUUAAAGUGGUACGCGAGCUGGGUUUAAAACGUCGUGAGACAGUUUGGUCCCUAUCUGCCGUGGGCGCUGGAAAUUUGAAGGGGGCUGCUCCUAGUACGAGAGGACCGGAGUGGACGAACCUCUGGUGUACCGGUUAUGACGCCAGUCGUAUUGCCGGGUAGCUAAGUUCGGAAGAGAUAAACGCUGAAAGCGUCUAAGCGUGAAACUCGCCUUAAGAUAAGAUUUCCCGGAGUCUUGAACUCCCUGAAGGGUCGUCGAAGACCACGACGUUGAUAGGUCAGGUGUGGAAGCGCAGUAAUGCGUUAAGCUAACUGAUACUAAUUGCCCGUGCGGCUUGAUC